Molecule: ribosomal RNA, 453 nt
Filed under: uncultured bacterium
Lineage: Bacteria
Description: bacterial SSU rRNA
Rfam family: Bacterial small subunit ribosomal RNA
Source: RNAcentral
CGCUGGCGGCGUGUNCUAACACAUGCAANCUCGAACGAGAAAGUGGAGCAAUCCAUGAGUAAAGUGGCGACCGGGUGAGUAACACGUGACUAACCUACCUUCGAGUGGGGGAUAACAUCGGGAAACCGAUGCUAAUACCGCAUAACAUCGCAAGAUCAAAGCAGCAAUGCGCUGGAAGAGGGGGUCGCGGCUGAUUAGCUAGUUGGCGGGGUAACGGCCCACCAAGGCGAAGAUCGGUAUCCGGCCUGAGAGGGCGCACGGACACACUGGAACUGAAACACGGUCCAGACUCCUACGGGAGGCAGCAGUGGGGAAUUUUGCGCAAUGGGGGAAACCCUGACGCAGCAACGCCGCGUGGAGGAUGAAGCCCCUUGGGGCGUAAACUCCUUUCGACCAAGACGAUAAUGACGGUACUGGUGGAAGAAGCACCGGCUAACUCUGUGCCAGCCGCCG